GUGAGGAAUAUUGGUCAAUGGGCGCUAGCCUGAACCAGCCAAGUAGCGUGAAGGAUGACUGCCCUAUGGGUUGUAAACUUCUUUUAUAUGGGAAUAAAGUGCAGUAUGUAUACUGCUUUGCAUGUACCUUAUGAAUAAGGAUCGGCUAACUCCGUGCCAGCAGCCGCGGUAAUACGGAGGAUCCGAGCGUUAUCCGGAUUUAUUGGGUUUAAAGGGAGCGUAGGCGGGUUGUUAAGUCAGUUGUGAAAGUUUGCGGCUCAACCGUAAAAUUGCAGUUGAUACUGGCAUCCUUGAGUACAGUAGAGGUAGGCGGAAUUCGUGGUGUAGCGGUGAAAUGCUUAGAUAUCACGAAGAACUCCGAUUGCGAAGGCAGCCUGCUGGACUGUAACUGACGCUGAUGCUCGAAAGUGUGGGUAUCAAACAGGAUUAGAAACCCCAGUAGUCC
RNAcentral lists this ribosomal RNA (445 nucleotides) under uncultured bacterium. RNAcentral describes it as "bacterial SSU rRNA". It matches the Rfam family "Bacterial small subunit ribosomal RNA", at positions 354 to 796 of the family's 1533-position model. The record is from RNAcentral.